RNAcentral lists this ribosomal RNA (253 nucleotides) under uncultured bacterium. RNAcentral describes it as "partial 16S ribosomal RNA". It matches the Rfam family "Bacterial small subunit ribosomal RNA", at positions 524 to 776 of the family's 1533-position model. The record is from RNAcentral.
UACGGGGGGGGCAAGCGUUGUUCGGAAUUACUGGGCGUAAAGCGUGCGCAGGCGGUUUUGUAAGCCCGAUGUGAAAUCCCCGGGCUUAACCUGGGAAUGGCAUUUGGGACUGCAAGGCUUGAGUGCGGCAGAGGAGACUGGAAUUCCUGGUGUAGCAGUGAAAUGCGUAGAUAUCGAGAGGAACACCAGUGGCGAAGGCGAGUCUCUGGACGACUCCUGACACUGAGGCACGAAAGCUAGGGGAGCAAACAGG